Molecule: ribosomal RNA, 114 nt
Filed under: uncultured bacterium
Lineage: Bacteria
Description: partial 16S ribosomal RNA
Rfam family: Bacterial small subunit ribosomal RNA
Source: RNAcentral
CGGUGAGUACGUUCCCGGGCCUUGUACACACCGCCCGUCAAGCCAUGGAAGCUGGGGGUGCCUGAAGUCGGUAACCGCAAGGAGCUGCCUAGGGUAAAACCGGUAACUGGGGCU